CGUAUCCAACCUGCCCACACUUGGGGAUAACCUUGCGAAAGUAAGACUAAUACCCAAUGAUAUCCCACGAAGGCAUCCGAAUGGGAUUAAAGAUUUAUCGGUGAUGGAUGGGGAUGCGUCUGAUUAGCUUGUUGGCGGGGUAACGGCCCACCAAGGCUACGAUCAGUAGGGGUUCUAGAGAGGAAGGUCCCCCACAUUGGAACUGAGACACGGACCAAACUCCUACGGGAGGCAGCAGUGAGGAAUAUUGGUCAAUGGGCGAGAGCCUGAACCAGCCAAGUAGCGUGCAGGAUGACGGCCCUAUGGGUUGUAAACUGCUUUUAUGCGGGGAUAAAGCGGGCGACGUGUCGCCCCUUGCAGGUACCGCAUGAAUAAGGACCGGCUAAUUCCGUG
This 393-nucleotide ribosomal RNA is filed under the name uncultured bacterium. RNAcentral describes it as "bacterial SSU rRNA". It matches the Rfam family "Bacterial small subunit ribosomal RNA", at positions 116 to 507 of the family's 1533-position model. The record is from RNAcentral.